This 429-nucleotide ribosomal RNA is filed under the name Actinomycetes bacterium. RNAcentral describes it as "Actinobacteria bacterium partial 16S ribosomal RNA". It matches the Rfam family "Bacterial small subunit ribosomal RNA", at positions 355 to 776 of the family's 1533-position model. The record is from RNAcentral. Lineage: Bacteria; Bacillati; Actinomycetota; Actinomycetes.
UAGGGAAUCUUCCGCAAUGGGCGAAAGCCUGACGGAGCAACGCCGCGUGAGUGAUGAAGGUCUUCGGAUCGUAAAACUCUGUUAUUAGGGAAGAACAAAUGUGUAAGUAACUAUGCACGUCUUGACGGUACCUAAUCAGAAAGCCACGGCUAACUACGUGCCAGCAGCCGCGGUAAUACGUAGGUGGCAAGCGUUAUCCGGAAUUAUUGGGCGUAAAGCGCGCGUAGGCGGUUUUUUAAGUCUGAUGUCAAAGCCCACGGCUCAACCGUGGAGGGUCAUUGGAAACGGGAAAACUUGAGUGCAGAAGAGGAAAGUGGAAUUCCAUGUGUAGCGGUGAAAUGCGCAGAGAAAUGGAGGAACACCAGUGGCGAAGGCGACUUUCUGGUCUGUAACUGACGCUGAUGUGCGAAAGCGUGGGGAUCAAACAGG